CUGAACAUAAUUGAAGGCAUUAAAGUGAACGAAAAUAAUAAAUUGAACAGUCCUAAAAUAAAAUAUGCGAACUAAUUAAAAUGCAAAUAAAAAAAAUUUAAAAUUCAUCUCAUUAAAUUAAAAAGGCAACAAGUAAUUACAUGAUGCAGUGGUGAAUUAAAAAAAAAAAAAACAAUGAAACAUUAAAAGGCCGUUACUUCACCCACAUUGAAUCACCAUAUGCUUCUAAAAUAAAAUGAAAAUGAAAUGUGCAUGGUCCUUUC
Molecule: long non-coding RNA, 263 nt
Filed under: Vigna radiata
Lineage: Eukaryota; Viridiplantae; Streptophyta; Magnoliopsida; Fabales; Fabaceae
Description: long non-coding RNA (VRAD_LNC017240)
Source: RNAcentral